AUGGUUCACGGGAUUCUGCAAUUCACACCAAGUAUCGCAUUUCGCUACGUUCUUCAUCGAUGCAAGAGCCUAGAUAUCCGUUGCCGAGAGUCAUUCUAUAUCAUGUGUCAAAACACAACCCGCACGAAAACCGUCUCCGAUGCCAUGCAAGUUCAGUGGACUUCUCACAACGUCGCGGGCAGCGGACCGCCCACGUCGCCGCAAUCCGAACACUUCACCGGACCAUUCAAUCGGUAG
Molecule: long non-coding RNA, 237 nt
Filed under: Vicia faba (fava bean)
Lineage: Eukaryota; Viridiplantae; Streptophyta; Magnoliopsida; Fabales; Fabaceae
Source: RNAcentral